UUUUUGAGUUAUACCAGUUUGUACAUAGUUAUAUUUUGACAGUGAAAUCGAAAAAACUAGUUGUACGACAUAAAAUUUAAACUUACCUCAGUUGUACCACUUCAUUAUGUGUACAUGUCUGUGCUCCAAUAAAAUGAAAUCAUAAAUUUUGUUAAAAUACAUUUCAUGUAUGUUUUCCAAAAAUUAUGUGGACAAAGAAGUUAACAAACCUUAAAAGUAUAAGGUAGAUUAUGCAAACUUAUGUGAUUGUGUUAGAUUUGCAAAAAAAAAAAAAAAACCCCAUGAAAUAUCAUAAGGAACCUUUAUAAAUACUUUACAAUUUAGCCACUUUAUUGAUUUUUUUCAUAUGACAUACUCGAAGGAAUAUUUAAAUUUCAGAACCUGAGUAGUUGUACUAGUUA
Molecule: long non-coding RNA, 401 nt
Filed under: Brassica rapa (field mustard)
Lineage: Eukaryota; Viridiplantae; Streptophyta; Magnoliopsida; Brassicales; Brassicaceae
Description: long non-coding RNA (BRAP_LNC005053)
Source: RNAcentral